RNAcentral lists this ribosomal RNA (292 nucleotides) under uncultured bacterium. RNAcentral's name for it is "partial 16S ribosomal RNA". The record is from RNAcentral.
GGACUACUGGGGUAUCUAAUCCCGUUCGCUCCCCAUGCUGUCGUGUCUGAGCGUCAGUUGCGAGCCAGGGCGCCGCCUUCGCCUCUGGGGUUCCUCCGGAUCUCUACGCAUUUCACCACUACACCCGGAAUUCCACGCCCCUCUCUCGCACUCCAGAAGACCAGUCUGGCAUAACCCUGCCCGGUUAAGCCGGGCCAUUUCAUACACCACUUGGUCCCCCGCCUGCACACCCUUUACGCCCAGUAAAUCCGGAUAACGCUCGCCACCUACGUUUUACCGCGGCUGCUGGCAC